AGACAGAAAUUUAAUUCAGAUGCUUGUUGCUCGUUGAAUGCUCUCAAGUUUUACUCAGUAUUUUGAUUUUGAAGCAUUUUAUUCAUUUCACUUCUCUUAAUUCUCAGACAAAGUAUCAUAACAAUAUUCUCUGUGAGGUUGAGUUUAUUAUUAGACAUAGAUUACAUAACAAAGAUUAUCAGUUGGAAGGAGAUCUUCAUUUUACAUUCUUCUCAAUCGGCUUGCGUCCUCAAUUCCUAGAGAUUGGCUCAAUUAUUAGCAAUGAUGCGAUGUCGAUAGAUUGAUUGAAAAAUUGAUUGAUUGAAUCAUGAACAAGGCCAAACAAAUUGAAGUGACAGUGAAAAAGCUGAAACAGAUGCUAAUUGUGUGCACUGGUGGAUUCACUGCAUUCUCAGCCGUCAGUAUUUACAAAGGAAAUGAGAAAUAUUACGAGAAUGUUCUGCUGCCGUUAGUACAUAAAUUAGACCCAGAACUUUCUCAUAAGUUGGCAGUAUUUGUUUCAAAAUACCAACUGUUGCCACAAAGUAAAUACAAGGAUCCAGCCGAGUUGCAGGCUUCGAUAAGCACGCCGAGGCAGUAGUCGGACUAGCGCAGGUCGGAUUCGGAUUUGUCGAGAUCGGAUCCGUCACACCUCUGUCGCAGCCCGGUAAUCCGAAGCCGCGCGUCUUUCGACUCUCCGACAACCAUGCUAUUAUUAAUAGGUACGGCUUCAAUAGUGAAGGCUUCGAUGUAGUUUACGAUAGAUUACAAACGUUGCGGUCGAAUAAUUACAAAGGAAUUAUCGGUGUCAAUUUGGGGAAAAAUAAGACUUCUCCUGCGCCGAUUGAGGACUACGUCAAAGGAGUGCAGAAGUUUGGACAUUUAGCUGACUAUCUUGUCAUCAAUAUUUCAAGCCCCAACACCCCCGGCCUAAGAGACUGGCAAGAAAAGGAACAGCUGAGAGCGCUUUUGUCAGAACUAGUGAAAGCCAGAGACAGUUUGGGAAUCGAACCCCGACCGCUGCUCCUAUUAAAACUGGCGCCAGAUCUGUCUUCGCAAGAAGUCACAGAUAUUGUUCAAGUGCUCCAAGACAAAAAGUGUCGUGUUGAUGGCCUGGUGAUAAGCAAUACAACGAUUGCGAGAGAUGACAGCCUGAUAGGUCCCCAUGUCCAUGAAGUGGGCGGUCUUAGCGGUCGACCAUUGACGCAGCGAUCAACUGAAAUGAUUUCGCAAGUUUAUAAACUCACCAAAGGGCAAAUACCAAUAAUUGGCGUAGGAGGAGUAUUCACAGGCCAAGACGCCUAUGAUAAGAUAAAAGCUGGUGCCAGCCUAAUACAGUUGUAUACCUCUUUCGUUUACCAUGGUCCACCCCGUAUAGAGAGGAUUAAGAAGGAGCUGCAUGAAUUACUACAGUCUGAUGGUUACCGAUCUAUACAGGAAGCAGUUGGGAAAGGAAUUUCGUGAUGAAUAUUUUUGAAAGAAAUGAAUAUUUGCUUCAAAUCUCGGUCAGCUGGUUCUUUUCCCUUUUAAUUUUAAAGAGUGUUCAGUGUCCAUACUAGAAAAUAAGUAUUAGUACAUUAAUGUUGAUUGUAAAAUAAAAAUAGAAAUUUAUUUUA
Molecule: unclassified non-coding RNA, 1595 nt
Filed under: Nilaparvata lugens (brown planthopper)
Lineage: Eukaryota; Metazoa; Arthropoda; Insecta; Hemiptera; Delphacidae
Description: dihydroorotate dehydrogenase (quinone), mitochondrial, transcript variant X1
Source: RNAcentral